CUACGGGUGGCUCCAGUAGGGAAUUUUCGGCAAUGGGCGCAAGCCUGACCGAGCAACGCCGCGUGAGUGAUUAAGGCCUUCGGGUUGUAAAGCUCUGUUGUAAAGGAAGAACGAUCAGUAUAGGAAAUGAUACCGAUGUGACGGUACUUUACCAGAAAGCCACGGCUAACUACGUGCCAGCAGCCGCGGUAAUACGUAGGUGGCAAGCGUUAUCCGGAAUUAUUGGGCGUAAAGGGAGCGUAGGCGGUUUAUUAAGUCUAUGGUGAAAGUGCGGGGCUCAACCCCGUAUGGCCAUAGAAACUGAUAGACGAGAGUGCAGAAGAGGGUAGUGGAAUUCCAUGUGUAGCGGUAAAAUGCGUAGAUAUAUGGAGGAACACCGGUGGCGAAGGCGGCUACCUGGUCUGUUACUGACGCUGAGGCUCGAAAGCGUGGGGAGCAAAUAGGAUUAGAUACCCCCGUAGUC
Molecule: ribosomal RNA, 463 nt
Filed under: uncultured bacterium
Lineage: Bacteria
Description: partial 16S ribosomal RNA
Rfam family: Bacterial small subunit ribosomal RNA
Source: RNAcentral